UACGGAGGGUGAGCGUUGUCCGGAUUUAUUGGGUUUAAAGGGUGCGCAGGUGGGUAUUUAAGUCUGGUUUGAAAGCAGGUGGCUCAACCAUCUGAUGUGGCUGGAAACUGGAUAUCUUGAAUGGGUUGGCGGUAGCCGGAAUGGGUCAUGUAGCGGUGAAAUGCAUAGAUAUGACCCGGAACACCGAUUGCGAAGGCAGGCUACUACGACUUGAUUGACACUGAGGCACGAGAGCAUGGGUAGCGAACAGG
This 251-nucleotide ribosomal RNA is filed under the name uncultured bacterium. Its description in RNAcentral is "partial 16S ribosomal RNA". It matches the Rfam family "Bacterial small subunit ribosomal RNA", at positions 524 to 776 of the family's 1533-position model. The record is from RNAcentral.